Molecule: ribosomal RNA, 509 nt
Filed under: uncultured Streptococcus sp.
Lineage: Bacteria; Bacillati; Bacillota; Bacilli; Lactobacillales; Streptococcaceae
Description: partial 16S ribosomal RNA
Source: RNAcentral
CACGUAGUUAGCCGUCCCUUUCUGGUAAGAUACCGUCACAGUGUGAACUUUCCACUCCCACACCCGUUCUUCUCUUACAACAGAGCUUUACGAUCCGAAAACCUUCUUCACUCACGCGGCGUUGCUCGGUCAGACUUUCGUCCAUUGCCGAAGAUUCCCUACUGCUGCCUCCCGUAGGAGUCUGGGCCGUGUCUCAGUCCCAGUGUGGCCGAUCACCCUCUCAGGUCGGCUAUGUAUCGUCGCCUAGGUGAGCCGUUACCUCACCUACUAGCUAAUACAACGCAGGUCCAUCUGGUAGUGGUGCAAUUGCACCUUUCAAUUAAUUAUCAUGCAAUAAUUAAUAUUAUGCGGUAUUAGCUAUCGUUUCCAAUUAGUUACUCCCCGCUACCAGGCAGGUUACCACGCGUUACUCACCCGUUCGCAACUCACAGUCUAUGUGUAGCAAGCUACGGUAUAACUGUGCGUUUCUACUUGCUAGUGUAUUAGGCACGCCGCCAGGCCGUUCUCCG